UACAGAGGUCUCAAGCGUUGUUCGGAUUCAUUGGGCGUAAAGGGCGCGUAGGCGGCUGUCCAAGUCAGGUGUGAAAGCCCGGGGCUCAACCCCGGAAAUGCACUUGAGACUGGGCGGCUUGAGGACGGGAGAGGAUAGUGGAAUUCCCAGUGUAGAGGUGAAAUUCGUAGAUAUUGGGAAGAACACCGGUGGCGAAGGCGGCUAUCUGGACCGUUUCUGACGCUGAGGCGCGAAAGCGUGGGGAGCAAACAGG
RNAcentral lists this ribosomal RNA (253 nucleotides) under uncultured bacterium. Its description in RNAcentral is "partial 16S ribosomal RNA". It matches the Rfam family "Bacterial small subunit ribosomal RNA", at positions 524 to 776 of the family's 1533-position model. The record is from RNAcentral.